GACGAACCGUCCGAACGUUAUUCGGAAUCACUGGGCUUAAAGGGUGCGUAGGCGGCGUAGUAAGUAGGGUGUGAGAUCCCUCGGCUCAACCGAGGAACUGCGCCCUAAACUACUAUGCUUGAGGGAGAUAGAGGUGAGCGGAACUUAGGGUGGAGCGGUGAAAUGCGUUGAUAUCCUAAGGAACACCGGUGGCGAAAGCGGCUCACUGGAUCUCUUCUGACGCUGAGGCACGAAAGCUAGGGUAGCAAACGGG
This 253-nucleotide ribosomal RNA is filed under the name uncultured bacterium. RNAcentral describes it as "partial 16S ribosomal RNA". It matches the Rfam family "Bacterial small subunit ribosomal RNA", at positions 524 to 776 of the family's 1533-position model. The record is from RNAcentral.